UAUUAAGGAAAAUGAAAUGAGUAAUAUUAGUUGCAUUUUUUUGUUUGUCUUAGCUAGGUUGUUCAGUGGUACUUUCACUUGUGUGUUAGAGACAGAGAUUUGACAUAUUUGUACGCGAAAGAAGGAGCAAUUCUGGGAUUGGGCCUCUUUUCUUUUAGCCUGUUUUGUCAGAUACUAAAACUGUAAAAGUCACUCUAGUCAUCUUGUGGCAUCUGAUGUCUUUCCGGGAGUGGCCUGGCUGUUUAUAUGAUUCUCGGAACAGUCAGAUGAGUGAACUGACGAUUUUUCCUUUUGCAAAAUUCCUUUUUCUACAGUGUCUGUGCUGAAAACAAUCCCAGGCACCCCUGAAAAAACCGCCAACUAAAACUGCUGAUUGUAAGAUGGAGAAAUACCCAUUCUUGCUCUGAGCACAGGAUUCAUGGUCAGUGUGGGACCCUGCCAACGCUCAGUCGUGCCGUCCCCCGUGAUACUAGUCGCACAGAGGGCUUCCCUAUCGGCACAGAAGUGACAUACAGGUGCCUUGAUGACUUUGUUAAAAUCCCUGGAAAGUUAGACCGUGUUGUUUGCCUUUCAAACUCAGAGUGGUCAACCAUUGGAGAGUUUUGUAAUGG
Chrysemys picta bellii (western painted turtle) is the source of this 611-nucleotide non-coding RNA. The record is from RefSeq and is a predicted model, not a curated record. Lineage: Eukaryota; Metazoa; Chordata; Testudines; Emydidae.